Long non-coding RNA from Echinops telfairi (small Madagascar hedgehog), 119 nucleotides. RefSeq lists it as uncharacterized. NCBI's taxonomy places the organism in Eukaryota, Metazoa, Chordata, Mammalia, Afrosoricida, Tenrecidae. The transcript is spliced from 3 exons. The record is from RefSeq and is a predicted model, not a curated record.
UGCCAUGAAAUUAUAUUGAUUGGUUCACUUUUCUGGAAGUUCUUGAUGUAUUCGAUGAUUCUCACCAACACUACAGUUUGAAGAGUGCGGACGCAGUCCCCCACUACCACAAAUUAUGC